GGCUCUGUGGCGCAAUGGAUAGCGCAUUGGACUUCUAGGCUGUGAGCUGAGCCAUUCAAAGCUUGUGGGUUCGAGUCCCACCAGAGUCG
This 89-nucleotide transfer RNA is filed under the name Danio rerio (zebrafish). It matches the Rfam family "tRNA". Rfam says of the family: Transfer RNA (tRNA) molecules are approximately 80 nucleotides in length. Lineage: Eukaryota; Metazoa; Chordata; Actinopteri; Cypriniformes; Danionidae. The record is from Rfam by way of RNAcentral.